Bufo gargarizans (Asiatic toad) is the source of this 82-nucleotide small nucleolar RNA. RefSeq annotates it as small nucleolar SNORD12/SNORD106. The record is from RefSeq and is a predicted model, not a curated record. Lineage: Eukaryota; Metazoa; Chordata; Amphibia; Anura; Bufonidae. The transcript has a single exon.
UGUAGUCUGAAUGUGGUGACCACUUUCCCCAUCAGAUCGGCCAUGUUGAUUGGUUUGUAGCCAGUGUUGUCUGAUAACUGCA